ACAAGCGGUGGAGCAUGUGGUUUAAUUCGACGCAACGCGAAGAACCUUACCAGGGCUUGACAUCCCCUGACCGCGUAUGAAAGUACGUUUUCACCCUCGGGUGACAGGGAGACAGGUGGUGCAUGGUUGUCGUCAGCUCGUGUCGUGAGAUGUUGGGUUAAGUCCCGCAACGAGCGCAACCCCUACGUUUAGUUGCUAACGCGUGAAGGCGAGCACUCUAGACGAACUGCCGUUGACAAAACGGAGGAAGGUGGGGAUGACGUCAAGUCCUCAUGGCCUUUAUGACCAGGGCUACACACGUACUACAAUGGCAGGUACAAAGGGCAGCCACUCAGCGAUGAGGCGCUAAUCCCAUAAAGCCGGUCUCAGCCCGGAUCGCAGUCUGCAACUCGACUGCGUGAAGUUGGAAUCGCUAGUAAUCGUAGAUCAGCAUGCUACGGUGAAUACGUUCCCGAGCCUU
Molecule: ribosomal RNA, 460 nt
Filed under: uncultured Pelotomaculum sp.
Lineage: Bacteria; Bacillati; Bacillota; Clostridia; Eubacteriales; Desulfotomaculaceae
Description: bacterial SSU rRNA
Rfam family: Bacterial small subunit ribosomal RNA
Source: RNAcentral